AGCAGCGUGGCUCAGUGGAAAGAGCACGGGCUUGGGAGCCAGAGGUCAUGGGUUCGAAUCCCGGCCCCGCCA
Molecule: transfer RNA, 72 nt
Filed under: Ornithorhynchus anatinus (platypus)
Lineage: Eukaryota; Metazoa; Chordata; Mammalia; Monotremata; Ornithorhynchidae
Rfam family: tRNA
About the family: Transfer RNA (tRNA) molecules are approximately 80 nucleotides in length. Their secondary structure includes four short double-helical elements and three loops (D, anti-codon, and T loops).
Source: Rfam by way of RNAcentral